This 252-nucleotide ribosomal RNA is filed under the name uncultured bacterium. Its description in RNAcentral is "partial 16S ribosomal RNA". It matches the Rfam family "Bacterial small subunit ribosomal RNA", at positions 524 to 775 of the family's 1533-position model. The record is from RNAcentral.
UACGGAGGGGGCUAGCGUUAUUCGGAAUUACUGGGCGUAAAGCGCACGUAGGCGGAUUGGAAAGUUGGGGGUGAAAUCCCAGGGCUCAACCCUGGAACUGCCUCCAAAACUUCUUGUCUUGAGGUCGAGAGAGGUGAGUGGAAUUCCGAGUGUAGAGGUGAAAUUCGUAGAUAUUCGGAGGAACACCAGUGGCGAAGGCGGCUCACUGGCUCGAUACUGACGCUGAGGUGCGAAAGCGUGGGGAGCAAACAG